Molecule: long non-coding RNA, 104 nt
Organism: Gopherus evgoodei (Goodes thornscrub tortoise)
Lineage: Eukaryota; Metazoa; Chordata; Testudines; Testudinidae
Exons: 3
Source: RefSeq, a predicted model, not a curated record
CAGCGCUGGUUUGUCCCACUGUACAACUUACUUGAAAAAACACAGCCAUGGCUCCUAUUAUCCGGUUUUCUAAAAUUGCUGCUCCAAAACUGUCAAAGUCAUCA